CUUACAUACAGUUAUGUUGCAUUUAGUAUUCAGCUACUGACAGAAUGAGGGCCUAGUGUACAAACGAGAAAGGUCUUCAACAACUACCUAUUGCCUACAGCCCUGGUGGUAAGAUACAAUCAGCAAGCAACAUGCAGUUUUCAUUAUUUGUGAAAAUACUUAUUGUCUCCUUGAUCUGUUUUCAUAUUCAAAUAGCUGAAACAACUUUCAGUGACUUUGAAGGAGCUGCAAUUUCAGUUCCUGAUGAUACAUUAAACUGGUUUCAGGUUGGACUAUUGAAAACUAUGUUCCUGUUGUUAGUUCUUCAGUGGAUAAAUGGUGCUCUGCCAUUAGAAAUUUCACUUCCGCUUGAUAAAUUUGCCUUGCCACAAAGUGAGAAGUAUAAUACAGAUGAUGAGCAUACUUUUGCUACAAAGGGAAUGUAUCUGCUUGAGCCAGUGAUGUCAAAAGGAUCCACUGUGGAUGACACACACAUAAAACUAUAUCAAAAAUCUUAUUUCAGUUUACAAAAGGCUAUUAAAUUUUUUGUUACAUUUGAAAGAAUUAUUUCAGCCUUAUGUCUCACCAUUUAUGAAUUUGUAACGAAAAUGUAUUAUUUCUGGUAUGGAUAGAAAUCAAUGUUUUAGUUUGCUACAGUUCAUUCUGCACACUAGCUUUAAGAA
Long non-coding RNA from Schistocerca nitens (vagrant locust), 662 nucleotides. RefSeq lists it as uncharacterized. Lineage: Eukaryota; Metazoa; Arthropoda; Insecta; Orthoptera; Acrididae. The transcript has 4 exons. The record is from RefSeq and is a predicted model, not a curated record.